CACGAUUGUCACGUGGCGGACCGGUAAGAUCGUGCAGUGUGUUUACAAGCUCAGUGUCAGCUGAUGACAUUUGUUAAUGGCGUGAUCUCAUGGUGUGACGUAGUCGGGGCACCGUAAGGAGUUCAGAACUCAGGUUCAAAAGGCAACAUUGAACAGAUGUUGCUUACAGGUGAAUUAAGAAGCUUAUACUUUUCACAUGCAAGAUAACAAAGUUUCAACAAUGGCAUUCGUGUACCAGACGACACCAACAGAACUGUACUACUGCACUUCCGGAAUACCCCUCACAAGGGCUCGGCACCUGACGUAGGUCAUACUCGCGCACACAUAACGUACAGUCUGUAUAAUGACCACCCUGGAAACAUUUGACUAUUUGGUUUUGGACAUAUGAUGUCUGAUGAUGAUGAUUAAAGUGGUGGUUAAUGUUGAUGGAACAAA
Long non-coding RNA from Haliotis rubra (blacklip abalone), 435 nucleotides. RefSeq lists it as uncharacterized. The record is from RefSeq and is a predicted model, not a curated record. NCBI's taxonomy places the organism in Eukaryota, Metazoa, Mollusca, Gastropoda, Lepetellida, Haliotidae. The transcript is spliced from 2 exons.